UGAUUAAGCCAUGCAAGUCAAGGUGUCUUCGGACGCCGGCAUACGGCUCAGUAACACGUAGGUAACCUACCCUCAGGACUGAGAUAACCCCGGGAAACUGGGGCUAAUAUUAGAUAGAUAAAAGAUACUGGAAUGUUCUUUUAUCCAAAGCUUUUGCGCCUGAGGAUGGGCCUGCGUCCGAUUAGGUCGUUGGUGGGGUAAUGGCCCACCAAGCCUGCGAUCGGUACGGGCAGUGGAAGCUGAAGCCCGGAGUUGGGGACUGAGACAAGGCCCCAGGCCCUACGGGGCGCAGCAGGCGCGAAACCUCUGCAAUGCGGGAAACCGUGACAGGGGGAUCCCAAGUGCUCAUGCAUUGCAUGGGCUGUUCUUUGGUCUAAGUAACCAGAGGAGUAAGGGCUGGGCAAGACCGGUGCCAGCCGCCGCGGUAAUACCGGCAGCUCAAGUGGUAGCCGCGAUUAUUGGGCCUAAAACGUUCGUAGCCGGAUAAGUAAGUCUUUGGUUAAAUCCUGCGACUCAACCGUGGGAAUUCUAGAGAUACUGCUCGUCUUGAGACCGGGAGAGGUUGGAGGUACUCCUAGGGUAGGGGUGAAAUCCUGUAAUCCUAGGGGGACCACCUGUGGCGAAGGCGUCCAACUGGAACGGGUCUGACGGUGAGGGACGAAACCUAGGGGAGCGAGCCGGAUUAGAUACCCGGGUAGUCCUAGGCGUAAAUGAUGCGAGUUAAGUGUGGGGGCAUCUACGAGAUGGCCCUGUGCUGUAGGGUAGCCGUUAAACUCGCUGCCUGGGGAGUACGGUCGCAAGGCUGAAACUUAAAGGAAUUGGCGGGGGAGCA
Molecule: ribosomal RNA, 832 nt
Filed under: uncultured archaeon
Lineage: Archaea
Description: bacterial SSU rRNA
Rfam family: Archaeal small subunit ribosomal RNA
Source: RNAcentral